AAUGUGCUUUUUUUUUUUUCUAAGCUAAAAAGUGGUGUAUUAUGUACUAUGUUACCUUCUUUACUUGUGAUUCUGUUACAUUGCUUUUUUUUUUUUUUUUUUUGCUGGAAAACAACCUUGGAAAUCAAUUUAAAAAAAAAACAACAACAACAAAAAAAAACAGACUCAAUGAUGCAGAAGUCAUCAGAUAAUCAUCCAAGACAAAAUCUGUAUUAAAAACAUGUAUAGGGUGUCUAUACACAGAGGAGAAUACCGUCUGUGCUAAGAGCGGGUCUUGAGAGGUGGUAACACACACACGCGCGCACACACACACACACACACACACAGACAGGUUCAAAAAUCCCACUGCGGCAGUGAAAAUCCGAGCGAGAUACUUGGUGUGUGUCCAACUUAAAUAUAAAACGAUGGUAUUAAUCAGCAGAAAAUCCUCUAGUACACGGGAUAUUUUUGCUCCACAUGACAUAUUCCUUAUUUGAAUAACCGAUGAAGUAAACACAUGUUAAGAUGAAAUAUAAUACAUGUCCGGACCAGAUCACGCGCACCGAUAAAAGACGCGCGAUAUCCACGUGCAUACACGUACCGCUUCAUCUUAAAACUUAGCCCACAAACACACACGUUCACACACACACACACACACACACACUUCAUCUUCUCUGUCAUUGUUAUUUCAGGUUUUAAUGAACGGUAUUUAGACACCAAAAGUACACUAAUCACACCAACAUCAAAAACUUCAAGGGUGUAGACAACUUGGGGAGAAAAAGACACACACACACACACACACACACACACACACACACGCACACUUCCCCAUAUAAAGUUAAUUGGGAUUAGGAUGCAGGCCUUGGGCCUCAGACUCGAGCUUCCUUAUUACAUGAGUUACGAGGCGUAAUGAUGAACAUAUGGAUAAAAGUAGAAUAAGGAACGGGCCAAUCAGAGGCGAGUUAUUCCGUGCAGAUUGUAAUAAUAAAAUGCGGCAAGAUCAAAGGCGUGAUUACUUUCAUGUACGCCCCCCCCUCCCCCCCCACUAUGCUGGAACUGGACUGUGUAUGGGAAAAGCAGACAUUGCUUUCAGCGUGCUGGAUGAGUGAUCGAUCAGCAGCGAGAUGCGUGGGUGUGUUUGUGCGUGGACCAUUACUGCUAAUGUUUGGAAAAGUGCUCUAGGUUUUUCCCGUGUAUGUUACGCUGUAGCUGAACUUGGCUACAGAGUAGAAGCAGGUGCAAGCAAAAAGUGUGUAUGGCAUGUAUUCCAAAGAAAGUGAUAUAUGAGGCGGGGGGGGGGAAGAAAAAAAAAAAGCCAGGGCCCAUUUGAACUAUUUCACACAAUCCUACUAUUUACAAAUUAGGCUGCUUAGUUAAAUGUGUACAAUAAUAUUAUUAUACCUCAGACCCCUACUUUGAGAACCACUGCUUUAAAAGAAUAACAGUCUUUAUAAUUAUGUUAUACGCGAUGAUGUCAUUUGAAAGACAACUGAAUUUUUGUAUUGAUUAAGAAUGACCUGCUUUUGCUCAUGAAAUAUCGAGAGAUGUUUAGCCUAGUUUUUAUCAUGCUUGGAAAGAAAAAAAAGAAAAGAAAAAAAAGAAACUGAGCUCAGUACAGGCUCUGACAUCAAAAAGGAACAAGUAAACCUGUGUUAAACAGCAUGGCAUGAAAAAUCCAUUUUAGCAACAGUAAUAUUUCUGCAAAUACAAUACAAUACAAUACAAUACAAUACACCAACCGCUACAUGGAUAAAGCUCCUCAAGAAUGAUGCCCAAGAAUAAAAAAACACAUCUGUAACAUGUCUCUACAGUAAUAAUAUUACUUUACAGUGAUAUAAAUGAAGAAUAUAUACGUGAUGUUACUUUACAGUGAUAUAAAUGAAGAAUAUAUACGUGAUAUUACUUUACAGUGAUGUAAAUGAAGAAUAUAUACGUGAUGUUAUUUUACAGUGAUAUAAAUGAAGAAUAUAUACGUGACGUUACUUUACAGUGAUAGAAA
Molecule: long non-coding RNA, 1978 nt
Organism: Ictalurus punctatus (channel catfish)
Lineage: Eukaryota; Metazoa; Chordata; Actinopteri; Siluriformes; Ictaluridae
Source: Ensembl